AGGACGAACGCUGGCGGCGUGCUUAACACAUGCAAGUCGAGCGGUAAGGCCUUUCGGGGUACACGAGCGGCGAACGGGUGAGUAACACGUGGGUGAUCUGCCCUGCACUUCGGGAUAAGCCUGGGAAACUGGGUCUAAUACCGGAUAUGACCUCAGGUUGCAUGACUUGGGGU
RNAcentral lists this ribosomal RNA (173 nucleotides) under uncultured soil bacterium. RNAcentral's name for it is "partial 16S ribosomal RNA". It matches the Rfam family "Bacterial small subunit ribosomal RNA", at positions 26 to 201 of the family's 1533-position model. The record is from RNAcentral.